Mustela lutreola (European mink) is the source of this 3338-nucleotide RNA transcript. It is a transcript of the gene named conserved oligomeric Golgi complex subunit 2-like, with no coding region annotated. Lineage: Eukaryota; Metazoa; Chordata; Mammalia; Carnivora; Mustelidae. The transcript has 5 exons. The record is from RefSeq and is a predicted model, not a curated record.
AAGGAAUUCGGGCAGUAGAUGAACUAAUGUGUAAACAACAGGACAUAAGGAAGAAAAAGAUGUGUGUGUUGAUGCUUAUACAAGUUAUUUGAUCAGUUGAAAAGAUUGAAAAAAUCUUAAAUUCACAAAGUUCUAAAGAAACCUCUGCACUAGAAGCAAGCAGGUAAGCAUUUUUUUUUUUAACUAAGUAGCACAUAAAUUAAUACUUCACAUCCAGUCUAAUUAGGCGGGGACGGCUUAGUUAGAAUUCAUUUCUAAACAAGAAGAAAAUCCAGGUUUGUGGCUAGAAUGUAGCUCCAGGAGAGUGGAGAGCAUGAAAUGGUGAAAUCUAUAACACGUUCCUAUAAACCCUUUGGUUAUAGACCACAGUUCCAACACGUCAUUAUGCUUGCAGUGGAAAAGUAUAUUUGGAACCACCUUCCCUGAGGACUAGCAAAGUCCUGUUGAUCUUUAAGGCAUACCUACCAUUCAUCUUGGUUUUUCUCCAUCUCAUUUUUUUUCCUAGACAUGCCCAGAGUAUUACCAUUGAUGUAUUUUGCACCAGCAUUAUAUUAUUAUGAAACAGUAUAGGGCACAUCCAGUUGAAAUUUACAAACAGGAAAGAAAAAGCUUAUGAAAUAGGAAAAAGAUGAUGGCUCUCUUUGUUAUACUGUGAUUGUCUUGUUCCCUUCCUGGUGUGAAUUUUCAAUCAGCCAGGGUAGAUGAGUGACUCAGAAAAUGAGUAGUUAGGUCCUGUCAGCACCGUGAGACACACAGUGGUGCAGUGGGAGUAGCCCGGGCUGGUUCUGCACAUACCAGCUGGGCUGCCUGCGUCAAGGUCGCAUGGUGCCCUGCGUGCCCUGCGUGCUCUGUUAUGUGAGGCUAACAGUCCCUCCCCCUGCAGGCGGAGUUAGGUUUCUAAAUUUUAGGAAUUAAGGUUUUAGAUUUGGAAGGAACUUGAGAGACCAUAUGCUCCACAUGUCUCAUGAUGGAGAUUAAGAACGGACACAUCCCAAAGGAAGCGAUUCUCUGGUCCUAGGUCUCUGCCCCCUUUCACAUCAAGGCAUUCAACUAAGUGGUCAGCCUCCACUGUGCUUGUGUCUCUAGCCCGUUGCACUCGUGCUUCUGCCCCGUUCGUCCACACUUAGCAGACAGUCUGUACGCGGCCCUUCUGCAGCCCAUGUGUCUCCAGCGGCUCUGCUUUGCUGCAGCCCUUGGCAGCACCUGCAGCCCCUCCGGCCAUGUCCACGUUCGGCCCCUGGGGAGCUGGCCUUCCAGUGUUCUUCCCGUCUUUGCUGUUGCUGCUGUGCUCCUCGGAUAGAAACACCUCAGUGAGCUCUGUGUCUACAAUCCUGUCCCUUUGCAGCACUGUCCUUGAUAAACAGAUAUUGUGCGCUUUCUUGCUCAGAAUUACCUUGGAGGACUUUUUUCUCCAGAAGAGUAGCUCUGAGCUCUGGAGUCAGGAAAGCCAGAGCAGAGUCAGCGCACGGUAAAUCCAUCAUGCUCUUCUAGGCCCAGAAAUGCCGAGAUAAGGAUAAAUAGGAAAUGCGCAUGGGAUCAGUCAGUAGAGGUUGGGAUUAGGCUUCUUCAUUGGUCAUGCCCAGCGCCUGCCUUCCCUCCACACCAGUUCUGAUGCUCUGGGACGGAGCACACCGUGGCAGGUCUCCAGACAUUUUUGGGUUUCCUUACAGUGUGUUUCCUCACUACCUGACUGCCCAUCCUCAGAUGUGGGAUGCCUCAUAGAGCCCAGCAGGGGCUUUGGGGUCUUUGUUGUGUUUUUUUUUUUUCUUUCACUGUUCGGCUUCCUUUUGAAUGGGGUUGACACUUUCUAAUGUGGGGGGCAAGAGGGAAGUGUAUCCAGUCCACUUGAUGGCAGAUGCACUGUGAGUGAUUUCUCACCAGCUCCAGGAGCACCGAGCUUGCUCUUUCUGCCGUUGGGUAAAUGUAAACUUGGAGUCCGCUGCUCUGAGCGAUUUCCCAGGUUGCUGCUAGGCGGUCAGUUUUAGCUGAUUGAGGAGACAGCAGUAGUUGGUACUGGGGAGGUACUUGGGAGGGAGAAUGAGGCAGGCAGAGAAGAGGGGGAUUCGCGUAUGAACGGUAGGACAGGGCAAGAGAGAGGAGGGGGUUAGAGAAUGGGAGAAGAAGGGAGAAGAAGGGCACGAAUGGGAGAGCCCGAGGAACGUGGUGGAAACAUGCAGUUGUACCCACACUGACCUAAAAUAGCUCCAUCCCCUUGCCUGGGCCCUGUGGCCCGGGCCAGGCUGCAUCGGUGGCUUCUAUGACCUCCCCGCUCCUCACCCCUCGCACCUGGGGCCUGCUGCACAGACAGUUUGUCCUGAAAAUUGAUGGCGUGCAGGUGCAGGUGCCUGAGCGCUGUAAGGCAUGGGGGGCGGUGGGGGUGGCAGGUUUUAACUUUGGGAAUUACACUUCUCUAAUUGUCUCUACUAGCCCUCUCUGGACUAGAGAGAUUUUGGAGAGAAUUGCCACAGAAUUUAACCAGUUACAGUUUCAUGCUGUUCAGAGCAAAGGCAUGCCUCUUCUGGACAAAGUAAGACCACGUAUAGCCCACAUUACGGCCAUGCUGCAGCAGUCCCUGGGAGGCCUGUUGCUAGAAGGGCUUCAGACUUCCAAUGUGGACAUCAUACGGCACUGCCUCCGGACUUAAGCUACAUUUGACAAGACACGGGAUGCAGAGGCGUUCGUUGGUCAAGUACUGGUGAAACUGUACAUGGAUGAGGUGAUUGUAGAGCAGAUCGUUGAGUCUCAUCCGGACGGCCUGAAGAUCAUGUAUGCUAAUAAGCUCCUGGAGUUCGUUCCUCACCACUGCCGCCUUCUUCGAGAGGUCACAGGAGGAGCCAUCUCAAGGAAGAAGAGAUUAGGACACAGACAGUACAGACUGAAGGACAAUCGUUUGAAGACAGAGUGGAGAACACAGCUAUCUGCAAGCCAAGGAGAGACGUUUGAAGAAUCGAACCCUACUGCCACCUUGAUCUUGGACUUCCAGCGCCCAGAACCAUGAGAAAAUAAAUUGCAUGUUGCCUAAGCCACCCGGCUGUUGAUAUUUUGUUUAUGACAGCCCAUGACUCAGAAAUUUGAGGAGCUCCCCCUCAGACUUUAUCCUGAAGUUCUGUUUCAGCUUCAGGGGCUUGUGUAAUACUACUGUAUCAAGGAGGGAGGCUCCUGCCAUUCCCUGCACUGGGUCAUUGAGACACUGCACAGCUGUCCCCAGGGCUGGCUACAUAAUUUACAAGCCCCAUGCAAAAUGAAGAUAUAGGGCCCUUUGGGCAAAAACAGGGAGGAAGUGUUUGUUAAAGGUACUAAAAUAGAAAGCUCAUUUCCUCCAUGGUCUGUCUUCUGAA